This 464-nucleotide ribosomal RNA is filed under the name uncultured bacterium. RNAcentral's name for it is "partial 16S ribosomal RNA". It matches the Rfam family "Bacterial small subunit ribosomal RNA", at positions 28 to 507 of the family's 1533-position model. The record is from RNAcentral.
GACGAACGCUGGCGGCGUGCUUAACACAUGCAAGUCGAACGGAAAGGCCCUGCUUGCAGGGUACUCGAGUGGCGAACGGGUGAGAAAAAGUUGGGGGUCCGCCCCGCCCUUCGGGGUUAGCCCUGGAAAAUGGGGUCUAUAACAGGUUGGAGGCCUUUUUCGUGGGUUGGGUGGGAAGGUUUUUUGGUGUGGGAUGGGCUGGGGGCCUGGCAGCUUGGUGGGGGGGUGAUGGCCUGCCAAGGCAGGGACGGGUCGCCGGGCCGGGGGGGGGGACGGGCACAUUGGGACUGGGAUACGGCCCAGACUCCUACGGGAGGCAGCAGUGGGGAAUAUUGCACAAUGGGCGCAAGCCUGAUGCAGCGAAGCCGCGUGGGGGAUGACGGCCUUCGGGUUGUAAACCCCUUUCGCUAGGGACGAAGCUUUUUGUGACGGUACCUAGAUAAGAAGCACCGGCUAACUACGUG